UUUAUAUUGGCAGAUUAGUGCAUUAAACUUAGAAUUUAAAUAAAUAAAUUAAUAAAUUUAUAUAUAAAA
This 69-nucleotide transfer RNA is filed under the name Dolichovespula kuami. RNAcentral describes it as "tRNA-Leu". The record is from RNAcentral. Lineage: Eukaryota; Metazoa; Arthropoda; Insecta; Hymenoptera; Vespidae.